ACUGCCUGCCCAGUGACACUUGUUCAACGGCCGCGGUAUUAUGACCGUGCAAAGGUAGCGUAAUCACUUGUCUUUUAAAUAAAGACCGGUAUGAAUGGCAAAACGAAAACUCAACUGUCUCCUCAGACAAGUCAGUGAAAUUGAUUUCCCCGUGAAGAAGCAGGGAUAAUAAUAUAAGACGAGAAGACCCUAUGGAGCUUUAAACCAAAACUACCCACCCUAUUAAAACUUUAAAAAGUGGAAUUAGCCAUAGGUUUUGGGUUGGGGCGACCACGGAGUAAAAAUUAACCUCCGAGAAAUAAUUAAGAAGAACAUUUCAAAAAAUAAUAAUGUUAUACAUUGACCCAAUAAUUGAUCAACGAACCAAGUUACCCUAGGGAUAACAGCGCAAUCCUCUCAAAGAGUCCCUAUCGACGAGAGGGUUUACGACCUCGAUGUUGGAUCAGGACCCCCAAAUGGUGCAAAAGCUAUUAAAGG
RNAcentral lists this ribosomal RNA (477 nucleotides) under Batrachoseps nigriventris (black-bellied slender salamander). Its description in RNAcentral is "partial 16S ribosomal RNA". It matches the Rfam family "Bacterial large subunit ribosomal RNA", at positions 1854 to 2571 of the family's 2925-position model. Lineage: Eukaryota; Metazoa; Chordata; Amphibia; Caudata; Plethodontidae. The record is from RNAcentral.